AGUGAACGCUGGCGGUAGGCCUAACACAUGCAAGUCGAACGGCAGCACAGUAAGAGCUUGCUCUUACGGGUGGCGAGUGGCGGACGGGUGAGGAAUACAUCGGAAUCUACUUUUUCGUGGGGGAUAACGUAGGGAAACUUACGAUAAUACCGCAUACGACCUACGGGUGAAAGCAGGGGAUCUUCGGACCUUGCGCGAUUGAAUGAGCCGAUGUCGGAUUAGCUAGUUGGCGGGGUAAAGGCCCACCAAGGCGACGAUCCGUAGCUGGUCUGAGAGGAUGAUCAGCCACACUGGAACUGAGACACGGUCCAGACUCCUACGGGAGGCAGCAGUGUGGAAUAUUGGACAAUGGGCGCAAGCCUGAUCCAGCCAUACCGCGUGGGUGAAGAAGGCCUUCGGGUUGUAAAGCCCUUUUGUUGGGAAAGAAAAGCAGCAGGUUAAUACCCCGCUGUUCUGACGGUACCCAAAGAAUAAGCACCGGCUAACUUCGUG
Molecule: ribosomal RNA, 492 nt
Filed under: uncultured bacterium
Lineage: Bacteria
Description: partial 16S ribosomal RNA
Rfam family: Bacterial small subunit ribosomal RNA
Source: RNAcentral